GAUGAACGCUGGCGGCGUGCUUAACACAUGCAAGUCGAGCGAGUCGAAGUUUCCUUCGGGAAACGGUAGUUAAGCGGGCGGACGGGGGUAGAGUAAACACCGUGGGUAACCUUAGCCUCCAAUAGAGGGUAGGAAUACGUCCGUUACCGAAAGGAAGACUUAAUACCGGCAUAAGUGUUGAAACGAUGGACAGUCAACUUACUAAUUUAACCAAACGGAGACAAUCCCGUCGUUAAGUAGGAGUAGUGGUACCCGCGGGCGACAUUUAGCCUAGGUUGGUGGGGUAACGGCCUACCAAGGCGACGAUGCGUAGCCGACCUGAGGGGUGAUCGGCCACAUUGGGACUGAGACACGGCCCAG
Molecule: ribosomal RNA, 360 nt
Filed under: uncultured bacterium
Lineage: Bacteria
Description: bacterial SSU rRNA
Rfam family: Bacterial small subunit ribosomal RNA
Source: RNAcentral